Molecule: ribosomal RNA, 460 nt
Filed under: uncultured bacterium
Lineage: Bacteria
Description: partial 16S ribosomal RNA
Rfam family: Bacterial small subunit ribosomal RNA
Source: RNAcentral
CCUACGGGAGGCAGCAGUGAGGAAUAUUGGUCAAUGGACGAGAGUCUGAACCAGCCAAGUAGCGUGAAGGAUGACUGCCCUAUGGGUUGUAAACUUCUUUUAUAUGGGAAUAAAAUGUUCCACGUGUGGGAUUUUGUAUGUACCAUAUGAAUAAGGAUCGGCUAACUCCGUGCCAGCAGCCGCGGUAAUACGGAGGAUCCGAGCGUUAUCCGGAUUUAUUGGGUUUAAAGGGAGAGUAGGUGGGUUGUUAAGUCAGUUGUGAAAGUUUGAGGCUCAACCGUAAAAUUGCAGUUGAAACUGGCAGUCUUGAGUACAGUAGAGGUGGGCGGAAUUCGUGGUGUAGCGGUGAAAUGCUUAGAUAUCACGAAGAACUCCGAUUGCGAAGGCAGCUCACUGGACUGCAACUGACACUGAGGCUCGAAAGUGUGGGGAUCAAACAGGAUUAGAUACCCCGGUAGUC